GUUUUAAUAAUUUAAUAAAAAUAUUAACCUUGUAAGUUAAACUUAAGUAAAUCUUUUAAAACA
This 63-nucleotide transfer RNA is filed under the name Signoretia aureola. Its description in RNAcentral is "tRNA-Thr". Lineage: Eukaryota; Metazoa; Arthropoda; Insecta; Hemiptera; Cicadellidae. The record is from RNAcentral.